AGUCAUGUUUCUCUUCAUAUCGAUUAAAUCUUUUGCCUUUUAUUAAAGAUUUCUGUGGAGAGGAACACUAUGAGUAUUGACUGAUUUUUAAAUGACCUGUAAUAUGCAAGGCU
Molecule: small nuclear RNA, 113 nt
Organism: Danio aesculapii
Lineage: Eukaryota; Metazoa; Chordata; Actinopteri; Cypriniformes; Danionidae
Product: U5 spliceosomal RNA
Exons: 1
Source: RefSeq, a predicted model, not a curated record